Molecule: ribosomal RNA, 353 nt
Filed under: uncultured Anaerolineaceae bacterium
Lineage: Bacteria; Bacillati; Chloroflexota; Anaerolineae; Anaerolineales; Anaerolineaceae
Description: bacterial SSU rRNA
Rfam family: Bacterial small subunit ribosomal RNA
Source: RNAcentral
ACGACCUUCGGGAGCUUGUACAGGUGCUGCAUGGCUGUCGUCAGCUCGUGUCGUGAGAUGUUCGGUUAAGUCCGCUAACGAGCGCAACCCUCGCUGUGUGUUACAAGUGUCACACGGAACUGCCGGUCAUAAACCGGAGGAGGUGGGAUGACGUCAAGUCAGCAUGGCCUUUAUAUCCUGGGCUACACACACGCUACAAUGGGAAGGGACAAUAGGUUGCGAAGCCGCGAGGCGGAGCCAAUCCAGCAAAACUUCCCUCAGUUCAGAUUGCAGGCUGCAACUCGCCUGCAUGAAGUUGGAGUUGCUAGUAAACGCAGGUCAGCCAUACUGCGUUGAAUACGUUCCCGGGGCUU